UAGGGAAUCUUCGGCAAUGGGGGGAACCCUGACCGAGCAACGCCGCGUGAGUGAAGAAGGUGUUCGGAUCGUAAAGCUCUGUUGUUAAGGAAGAACGAGUGUGAGAAUGGAAAGUUCAUACUGUGACGGUACUUAACCAGAAAGGGACGGCUAACUACGUGCCAGCAGCCGCGGUAAUACGUAGGUCCCGAGCGUUGUCCGGAUUUAUUGGGCGUAAAGCGAGCGCAGGCGGUUAGAUAAGUCUGAAGUUAAAGGCAGUGGCUCAACCAUUGUAGGCUUUGGAAACUGUUUAACUUGAGUGCAGAAGGGGAGAGUGGAAUUCCAUGUGUAGCGGUGAAAUGCGUAGAUAUAUGGAGGAACACCGGUGGCGAAAGCGGCUCUCUGGUCUGUACCUGACGCUGAGGCUCGAAAGCGUGGGGAGCGAACAGG
This 429-nucleotide ribosomal RNA is filed under the name Bacteroidota bacterium. RNAcentral describes it as "Bacteroidetes bacterium partial 16S ribosomal RNA". It matches the Rfam family "Bacterial small subunit ribosomal RNA", at positions 355 to 776 of the family's 1533-position model. Lineage: Bacteria; Pseudomonadati; Bacteroidota. The record is from RNAcentral.